GAUGGCAUAGCUCAGUGGCAGAGCACGUGCUUAGUGUGCACGAGAUCCUGGGUUCAAAUCCCAGUACUUUCA
This 72-nucleotide transfer RNA is filed under the name Camelus bactrianus (Bactrian camel). It matches the Rfam family "tRNA". Rfam says of the family: Transfer RNA (tRNA) molecules are approximately 80 nucleotides in length. Their secondary structure includes four short double-helical elements and three loops (D, anti-codon, and T loops). The record is from Rfam by way of RNAcentral. Lineage: Eukaryota; Metazoa; Chordata; Mammalia; Artiodactyla; Camelidae. RNAcentral also lists the same sequence under 2 other names.